Molecule: non-coding RNA, 840 nt
Organism: Perkinsus marinus ATCC 50983
Lineage: Eukaryota; Perkinsozoa; Perkinsida; Perkinsidae
Source: Rfam
ACUAACCAGCUUCCCUUUCGAGAAACAGAGCCAAAGCUCCAAUCCGAUGGAAUUUAACCUGUCUCUCAGGAUCGGCUAACCCAUGUCCAAGUGAGAUGUCUCACUUGGACACGUCAGUAUCGCUACGAUCGUGAAGCGAGUGACGAUCGCUGAAGCGAGUGGAUAGCGAUUUAGCUAUCUUAACAGCAGGACGGUGGUCAUGGAAGUCGAAAUCCGCUAAGGAGUGUGUAACAACUCACCUGCCGAAUCGACUAGCCCCGAAAAUGGAUAGCGCUGAAGCGAGUGACCGAUACCGGGCCAUUGUUGCAAGAUAAUUGGCAACAAUGAGUAGGAGGGCGUGGGGGUUGUGAAGAAGCUUGGACGUGAGUCUGAGUGAAACAGCUUCCAGUGCAGAUCUUGGUGGUAGUAGCAAGUAUUCAAUAAGAGAACAUUGAAGGCCGAAGUGGGGAAGGGUUCCAUGUGAACAGCACUUGGACAUGGGUUAGCCGAUCCUGAGAGACAGGUUAAAUUCCAUCGGAUUGGAGCUUUGGCUCUGUUUCUCGAAAGGGAAGCUGGUUAGUAUUCCAGCGCCGAGACGUGGAUAAUAUGUGGCAACACAAGUGAACUCGGACACGCCAUAGGGGACCCCAGGAAGCGUUGUCUUUUCUUUUUAACAGUUCGACUUACCCUGGAAUCAGAUCAUCUGGAGAUAGGGUUUUCGAACUGGAAUAGCACCUUGUCUAACAGGGUGUCUGGAGUGUUCUCGCUGGCCCUUGAAAAUCCGAGGGAUAGAUUUAUUCGCACUAGGUUCCAUCCAUAAAUCUAUCUAAUAAACGCAGCCCUUCCUGGGUUAAUCCCUUC